Molecule: ribosomal RNA, 483 nt
Filed under: uncultured bacterium
Lineage: Bacteria
Description: partial 16S ribosomal RNA
Rfam family: Bacterial small subunit ribosomal RNA
Source: RNAcentral
GACGAACGCUGGCGGCGUGCUUAACACAUGCAAGUCGAACGCUGAAGCUCAGCUUUUGUUGGGUGGAUGAGUGGCGAACGGGUGAGUAACACGUGAGUAACCUGCCUCCUUCUUUGGGAUAACGCCCGGAAACGGGUGCUAAUACUGGAUAUUCACUGGUCUUCGCAUGGGGGUUGGUGGAAAGGGUUUUUCUGGUGGGGGAUGGGCUCGCGGCCUAUCGGCUUGUUGGUGGGGUGAUGGCCUACCAAGGCUUUGACGGGUAGCCGGCCUGAGAGGGUGACCGGUCACAUUGGGACUGAGAUACGGCCCAGAGUCCUCCGGGAGGCAGCAGUGGGGAAUAUUGCCCAAUGGGCGCAAGCCUGAUGCAGCGACGCCGCGUGAGGGAUGGGGGCCUUCGGGUUGUGAACCUCUUUCGCUCAUGGUCAAGCCGCAACAAUGGUUGUGGUGAGGGUAGUGGGUAAAGAAGCGCCGGCUAACUACGUG